RNAcentral lists this long non-coding RNA (400 nucleotides) under Olea europaea (common olive). RNAcentral describes it as "long non-coding RNA (OEUR_LNC014216)". Lineage: Eukaryota; Viridiplantae; Streptophyta; Magnoliopsida; Lamiales; Oleaceae. The record is from RNAcentral.
CACUCACAAUUGGGUCAAAAAUGAAUAACCCAUUAUUAGUUCUAGUGUUUUUGAAAAUUAAAAUACUUCAUGACGAGGAUCCGUUGGUCUAAUAGCAAAUCUAUCCACCACCGUCCAGCAUACUAAUUAUUGUCUGAAAAUUAUAAAUAAGGGGAUGAGUAUAGUAUAACGAAUUAUACUCAAUGAGAUACUUGCUACUCCACAUUCAAGUAAAAGAAAUUACAAAUAAAUUAUCUUACCAACAUAACAUGGGAAUUAUCACACCAUGACAAAUGAUAAUUCUAGCAAGUGCUGCAAAAUAACGUGAAGGCUAAAUUGUGCCUUGAAAAUAACGUGAAGGCUAAAUUGUGCCUUAAAAUGUAUCAUGAUUUCUCCCGAAGGAGCCUGAAUUGAAGUAAUU